Molecule: microRNA, 22 nt
Filed under: Homo sapiens (human)
Lineage: Eukaryota; Metazoa; Chordata; Mammalia; Primates; Hominidae
Description: hsa-miR-4538
Source: miRBase by way of RNAcentral
GAGCUUGGAUGAGCUGGGCUGA